CCCUUAGAUGUCCGGGGCCGCACGCGCGCUACACUGAAGGAAUCAGCGUGGCUUUCUCCCUGACCCGAAAGGGUUGGGAAACCCGUUGAAUCUCCUUCGUGAUAGGGAUUGGGGCUUGAAAUUGUUCCCCAUGAACGAGGAAUUCCCAGUAAGCGCGAGUCAUAAGCUCGCGUUGAUUACGUCCCUGCCCUUUGUACACACCGCCCGUCGCUCCUACCGAUUGGAUUGGCUGGUGAAGCGUUCGGAUUGUGGGUUCGGAGCGGUUCGCCGUUCUGGGCUUGCGAGAAGUUCGUUAAACCCUCCUAUCUAGAGGAAGGAGAAGUCGUAACA
This 330-nucleotide ribosomal RNA is filed under the name uncultured eukaryote. RNAcentral describes it as "partial 18S ribosomal RNA". It matches the Rfam family "Eukaryotic small subunit ribosomal RNA", at positions 1470 to 1796 of the family's 1831-position model. The record is from RNAcentral.